RNAcentral lists this ribosomal RNA (165 nucleotides) under uncultured bacterium. Its description in RNAcentral is "partial 16S rRNA". It matches the Rfam family "Bacterial small subunit ribosomal RNA", at positions 355 to 511 of the family's 1533-position model. The record is from RNAcentral.
UAGGGAAUCUUCCACAAUGGACGAAAGUACUGAUGGAGCAACGCCGCGUGAGUGAAGAAGGGUUUCGGCUCGUAAAACUCUGUUGUUAAAGAAGAACAUAUCUGAGAGUAACUGUUCAGGUAUUGACGGUAUUUAACCAGAAAGCCGCGGCUAACUACGUGCCAC